CAUGCAUGUCGAACGCCCCGCAAGGGGAGUGGCAGACGGGUGAGUAACGCGUGUGGAAUCUACCCUUUUCUACGGAACAACUGAGGGAAACUUCAGCUAAUACCGUAUACGGCCGAGAGGCGAAAGAUUUAUCGGAGAAGGAUGAGCCCGCGUUGGAUUAGCUAGUUGGUGGGGUAAAGGCCUACCAAGGCGACGAUCCAUAGCUGGUCUGAGAGGAUGAUCAGCCACACUGGGACUGAGACACGGCCCAGACUCCUACGGGAGGCAGCAGUGGGGAAUAUUGGACAAUGGGCGCAAGCCUGAUCCAGCCAUGCCGCGUGAGUGAUGAAGGCCCUAGGGUUGUAAAGCUCUUUCACCGGUGAAGAUAAUGACGGUAACCGGAGAAGAAGCCCCGGCUAACUUCGUGCCAGCAGCCGCAGUAAUACUAACGGGGCUAGCGUUGUUCGGAUUUACUGGGCGUAAAGCGCACGUAGGCCGACUAUUGAGUCAGGGGUGAAUCCCGGGGCUCACCCCUGACUGCCUUUGAACUGGUGUCUUGAGUUCGAAGAGGUGAGUGGAUUCCGAGUGUGAGGUGAAUUCGUAUAUUUCUCAGGACACCAGUGGCAAUGCGCUCACUGCUCGAUCUGGCGCUCAGUGCAAAGCGUGGGAGCAACAGAUUAGUACCUGGUAUCACGCCUAACUACAGAGUAGCCUCCGCCGAUAUGUUCGCGCUUGCUAAGCAUAACUCUCACUGGCAGACGGUUCAGAUAAACUCAAUGAUUGCGGG
Molecule: ribosomal RNA, 766 nt
Filed under: uncultured Alphaproteobacteria bacterium
Lineage: Bacteria; Pseudomonadati; Pseudomonadota; Alphaproteobacteria
Description: bacterial SSU rRNA
Rfam family: Bacterial small subunit ribosomal RNA
Source: RNAcentral